RNAcentral lists this ribosomal RNA (1266 nucleotides) under metagenome. RNAcentral describes it as "bacterial LSU rRNA". It matches the Rfam family "Bacterial large subunit ribosomal RNA", at positions 1639 to 2925 of the family's 2925-position model. The record is from RNAcentral.
UGCCUGUACCAUAACCGACACAGGUGGGUAGGUAGAGUAUACUAAGGGGCGCGAGAUAACUCUCUCUAAGGAACUCGGCAAAAUGACUCCGUAACUUCGGGAGAAGGAGUGCCUUAUUUAUAAGGUUGCAAUAACAAGAUCCAAGCAACUGUUUAUCAAAAACACAGGUCUCCGCUAAGUCGUAAGACGAUGUAUGGGGGCUGACGCCUGCCCAGUGCCAGAAGGUUAAAGAAGUUGGUUAGUGUAUGCGAAGCUGAUGACUGAAGCCCUGGUGAACGGCGGCCGUAACGAUAACGGUCCUAAGGUAGCGAAAUUCCUUGUCGGGUAAGUUCCGACCCGCACGAAAGGCGUAAUGAUUUGGAUACUGUCUCGGAGAGAGGCUCGGUGAAAUAGACUUGUCUGUGAAGAUGCGGACUACCUGCACCAGGACAGAAAGACCCUAUGAAGCUUUACUGUAACUUGAAAUUGGGAUUGGACUUUGCUUGCGCAGUAUAGGUGGGAAGCGUUGAAGAUAUUCUUGCGGGAGUAUUGGAGCUAUCAGUGAGAUACCACUCUUGUAAUGUUAGAUUUCUAACUUUGAACCAUAAUCUGGUCAAAGAACAGUUUCAGGUGGGCAGUUUGACUGGGGCGGUCGCCUCCCAAAUGGUAACGGAGGCGUACAAAGGUUUCCUCUGAACGGAUAGAAAUCGUAUCUAGAGUGUAAAGGCAUAAGGAAGCUUGACUGUGAGACCUACAAGUCGAGCAGGGACGAAAGUCGGUCUUAGUGAUCUGACGGUACUGAGUGGAAAGGCCGUCACUCAACGGAUAAAAGUUACUCUAGGAUAACAGGCUGAUCUCCCCCAAGAGUUCACAUCGACGGGGAGGUUUGGCACCUCGAUGUCGGCUCAUCGCAUCCUGGGGCGGUAGUACGUCCCAAGGGUUGGGCUGUUCGCCCAUGAAAGCGGUACGCGAGCUGGGUUCAGAACGUCGUGAGACAGUUCGGUCCAUAUCCGGUGUAGGCGUUAGAAUAUUGAGAGGAGCCUUCUUUAGUACGAGAGGACCGAGAAGGACACACCGCUGGUGUACCAGUUAUCGUGCCAACGGUAAACGCUGGGUAGCUAUGUGUGGAGUGGAUAACCGCUGAAAGCAUCUAAGUGGGAAGCCCACCUCAAGAUGAGUAUUCUCAUCACUAUAAGUGAGUAAGGUCACGGUAAGACUAACCGUUUGAUAGGCAUUAAGUGUAAAUGAAGUAAUGCAUGUGCUGAGAUGUCCUAACAGACCGAGGAC